GACGAACGCUGGCGGCGUGCCUAAUACAUGCAAGUCGAGCGAGUCUGCCUUGAAGAUCGGAGUGCUUGCACUCUGUGAAACAAGAUACAGGCUAGCGGCGGACGGGUGAGUAACACGUGGGUAACCUGCCCAAGAGAUCGGGAUAACACCUGGAAACAGAUGCUAAUACCGGAUAACAACAGAUGAUGCCUAUCAACUGUUUAAAAGAUGGUUCUGCUAUCACUCUUGGAUGGACCUGCGGUGCAUUAGCUAGUUGGUAGGGUAACGGCCUACCAAGGCGAUGAUGCAUACCGGGGUGGAGGGGCGGACCGGCCCCAUGGGGACUGAGACACGCCCAAAACCCCGCCGGGAGGAAGAAGUGGGGAAUUUUCCACAAGGGGGGAAGGUCGGGUGGAGCAGCGCGGGGGGAGGGAAGAGGGGUUUGGGCUGUAAAAGCUGUUUUGUGGGUGAAGAAGGACAGGGGUAGAAUCUGCCUUUGUUUGGAGGGUAAUAAAUAAAAAAGUCCCGGCUAACUAAGGG
RNAcentral lists this ribosomal RNA (519 nucleotides) under uncultured bacterium. RNAcentral's name for it is "partial 16S ribosomal RNA". It matches the Rfam family "Bacterial small subunit ribosomal RNA", at positions 28 to 507 of the family's 1533-position model. The record is from RNAcentral.